This 130-nucleotide ribosomal RNA is filed under the name Pseudoalteromonas piscicida. Lineage: Bacteria; Pseudomonadati; Pseudomonadota; Gammaproteobacteria; Alteromonadales; Pseudoalteromonadaceae. The record is from RNAcentral.
CCUGAUGACCAUAGCGUUUUGGAACCACCUGACCCCAUGCCGAACUCAGAAGUGAAACAAAACAGCCGAAGGGUCGGCCCCGGUCAAUGAUAGUGUGGAUUACCCAUGUGAAAGUAGAACAUCGUCAGGG